Molecule: unclassified non-coding RNA, 1427 nt
Filed under: Hevea brasiliensis (rubber tree)
Lineage: Eukaryota; Viridiplantae; Streptophyta; Magnoliopsida; Malpighiales; Euphorbiaceae
Source: RNAcentral
AAAGGCACAAGGCAUUCAAUACGCUUGAUGCAUAGGCACCAGGUGCAAAGUGCAAGUGUGUGGUUGAAGAAUAUGAGGUGCAUAAAUAUUAAAGCUUGUGUAAAAUACAUGUAUAAUGUUUUCAAUUUUUAGUGGUAUUAGUUGAAUGCAAGAACAAUAAAAAAAUCAUAAUAACACAUGAAUACUGUGAAGAAGAUAACUAGGAUGUCUUCAACAUAAGUUAUAUGCACGGUAGAGUAGAGUGCAAGGAAAUCAUGAACACAGAAUAUAACCUCAAGCCAUAUUAGUUUUGCAAAAUCCUUUUGCAUGCAAGAGUAAAAAAAGUAGCAAAACACCACUAAGCAUUGUACAACACACAAAUCAAUGCUUCUUCCUCGUUGCCCAUCAACUUUAAAAGGUCCUUUCCUCAUCUAUAUUUUCUAACAGAAUAGCCCUAUACCUAGAAGCACUUUGUUUGCCACUACACCAGAGACUCAACUUCACUAGAAGGGGGAGAGGUAACUUCAGCUUGAGAUCAAAACUCCAAAUCCCAUCAUGAUAUUCACCUUGUAAAUGUUGAUUCUGUGCUAUUGUACUUAUUUCAUUAACAUAAAUAGAACAAUCCAAUGGUAAAAACCAAAUCACUAUGAGAUUUUAGUGAAAAAAUCCUCAGGUCUUUAUGGUGCACCCAUUACACCAAGACACCCCUUAAAAGCACUCAAGCCUUGCCAGGGAACAAUCAAGGCAUGUGACCUUGGGCUUGGGUGAACUUUGCAGCCUAGGUAUGCCUUUGACAGGUGACAACUAUGGACCAAUAUCAUGCCAAUGGCCGGCUGUACGUUCCUAUGUUAGACAUUUAUUAGAAGAUUUCAUUUUUUGCCCUCCUUUUGGUAAAAAUCUCAUAUGGACAAAUGUGAUGUUGUUUAUGUUUGGUUCUACUUUAAGGGGUUAAGGGUGGUCCUCCAAGCUUAUUUGUAUUCCAUUUUCCUGUUAAAUGAUUAUUGUGGAAUAUAUUGUAAAUAAAUGCAUUGGCGUUAGAAACUGCUUUCAAACAACGUACAUUUGAAGAAAGGCCCAACCAUGAUGGUAGAUUUGAAUGUGCUUCCUUUCCUGUAGAUUUGAUUAUGGAAUCGUCAUCUGAGCAAGUUCAUGGAUUACCAUUCAGAUGCAUGUGUUUGAUUCUGCCUUCACUGUGUUCUUCUGAAUAGCACAUAGUGAUAUUUUUCUAUGAUUUUAACAACAGAUAUGACAAAUCUGGUAACGAGCAGUUUGUGACUGAACUUAGCAAAUGGAUCUUCCAUGAAAGAGGUCAUCUAAAGGCUGUUAAUGUUAGGCACCACAAAGUUGGGGAAGCUGAUGAACCUGCAAUGUAUAGGAUCAAAGAUGAUCUGGACUUUUCUGUUGAGAUAUAUGAAUGGUCUGGAAAGAGCUGGGAACCAUAUGUGGCC